This 301-nucleotide ribosomal RNA is filed under the name uncultured bacterium. Its description in RNAcentral is "partial 16S ribosomal RNA". It matches the Rfam family "Bacterial small subunit ribosomal RNA", at positions 509 to 807 of the family's 1533-position model. The record is from RNAcentral.
CAGUCGCCGCGGGAAUACGAAGGGUGCAAGCGUUAAUCGGAAUUACUGGGCGUAAAGCGUGCGUAGGUGGUGGUUUAAGUCCGUUGUGAAAGCCCUGGGCUCAACCUGGGAAUUGCAGUGGAUACUGGAUCACUAGAGUGUGGUAGAGGAUAGUGGAAUUUCCGGUGUAGCAGUGAAAUGCGUAGAGAUCGGAAGGAACAUCUGUGGCGAAGGCGACUAUCUGGGCCAACACUGACACUGAGGCACGAAAGCGUGGGGAGCAAACAGGAUUAGAUACCCCGGUAGUCCCUGUCUCUUAUAC